AUACGGAGGAUCCGAGCGUUAUCCGGAUUUAUUGGGUUUAAAGGGUGCGCAGGCGGGAGAUUAAGUCGGCGGUGAAAUUUUGCAGCUCAACUGUAAAAGUGCCUUCGAUACUGGUUUCCUUGAGUGUGGAUGAAGUAGGCGGAAUUUGUGGUGUAGCGGUGAAAUGCUUAGAUAUCACGAGGAACUCCGAUUGCGCAGGCAGCUUACUAAACCACUACUGACGCUCAGGCACGAAGGCGUGGGGAUCAAACAGGAUUAGAUACCCUGGUAGUCCACGCAGUAAACGAUGAUUACUGGCUGUUUGCGAUAUACUGUAAGCGGCUUAGUUAAAGCAUUAAGUGAACCACCUGGGGAGUACGAUCGCAAGGUUGAAACUCAAAGGAAUUGACGGGG
This 393-nucleotide ribosomal RNA is filed under the name uncultured bacterium. Its description in RNAcentral is "partial 16S ribosomal RNA". It matches the Rfam family "Bacterial small subunit ribosomal RNA", at positions 523 to 918 of the family's 1533-position model. The record is from RNAcentral.